CUUUUCUUCACAAUUUUAAUGUUCCUGAGCAGCAAAACGAAUUCUUCCUAAGGUUCACCUCCCUUUCUGCCAAAGCCAACAACGACAACAACACCGAUCUCUUCACCUCCUUGAUCUCAGACAUCAAAUCCUACUCUGGCAACGACCCUCUUCUCGCAUGGCUCCAAUAUGCCUCUCUCUUUCUUUGUGGGUAGCUCUUUUAAUGGUUUUAAAAAGUAAGAUUGUUUGGCAUUUUGUAUAUACAGAGGGAUCAGAAAGAUGAAGGAUUCGCUGCCUUCGCAAGUACUGAACGAGAAGCUGCCACGGUUUUUGCAGAAGUGCGCGCAGACCUUCGAUUCCGAUCGCCGUUACAAAAACGACUUACGGUACCUCCGCGUUUGGUUACAGUUGAGAUGAGGUGGGUUCUUUCUAAAAUCCUUGAUAGCUCUUUCUCUCGCUGUCAAUGGCAGACAAGAAAUUAGGGUUCUUCACUAUAAAAGAAGAGGAUUAUGGAGGCAUAAAGAGAGGGGAGGCACGUACUACUACAGAAAGAAGGAUCACCAAAGAGUAAGACCUUUCUUUUAUUCUGCACUUUUAUUUAGUUGCUUUUCUGAAAUUUAAUAAUUUGUUAAGAUAAAGAGAGGCUGGAACCACUACCGGUGAGUUUUUAUCUUCAAUUUAAGUUUGUUUAUUAAUUGUGAUUAGGUUUUGAUAUUCACAACCAACCCAAUAUCAGAUCGCUGGAACUGCUACAAGUAAAAUCGUUUAUGUUAAUUUUGUGCGUUUAAUAGGAUUUAGGUUUUGCUAUUUUGGUUGGUUGGUUUUGAUUUAAGAAAUUGGUUUAGAUUUUGUAUAGUCAAAACCUAAUAUAGAUUCCUUUCAAUAUAUAACCCUCUAUAUAUUCCCAUCAGUGGCCAUAGAAGAGUGACCACUCUCUAACAAACUGAUUUUAUUUUGGUUUAUUUGGAAAUAUCUCAUGUCUCAUUCUUUUAAUGUGUUGUGGCUUAUAAGAGAAGAGCCAGUUAUGAGGAGAAGUUUGUUGAUUCUAUGUAGAAGAAAGCUAAGGAGGAAAAAGGUUGAAUUUGCAUCAAAGAGAUUCUUGGUAUUCUUUCGUGGACUUACAGAUUGAUUAAUUUUGAUAGCAACCAGAUUCCAAGAUCCUUCAAAGGCAAUGAUUUUUUAGGAUAUAAUAUUUGGUUCCGGAAAAUUAGCCUGUUUUCUAUUGAAACUAACAGAAUUUGUAUUGCUCUAUUUAUUUAUUUGGUUGGUUGAGAAAUUCUGUUGAUGGGUUUUGUUGGUGAGAAUUUCUACGCUGAAUCUAAAAUUUAAUACUAAAUAUUAAAUUUGAUGUU
Long non-coding RNA from Quercus lobata, 1331 nucleotides. RefSeq lists it as uncharacterized. Lineage: Eukaryota; Viridiplantae; Streptophyta; Magnoliopsida; Fagales; Fagaceae. The transcript is spliced from 4 exons. The record is from RefSeq and is a predicted model, not a curated record.